This 725-nucleotide ribosomal RNA is filed under the name uncultured bacterium. RNAcentral describes it as "bacterial SSU rRNA". It matches the Rfam family "Bacterial small subunit ribosomal RNA", at positions 771 to 1501 of the family's 1533-position model. The record is from RNAcentral.
AACAGGAUUAGAUACCCUGGUAGUCCACGCCCUAAACGAUGUCUACUAGUUGUCGGGUUUUAAUUAACUUGGUAACGCAGCUAACGCGUGAAGUAGACCGCCUGGGGAGUACGGUCGCAAGAUUAAAACUCAAAGGAAUUGACGGGGACCCGCACAAGCGGUGGAUGAUGUGGAUUAAUUCGAUGCAACGCGAAAAACCUUACCUACCCUUGACAUGGAAGGAAUCCUCGAGAGAUUGAGGAGUGCCCGAAAGGGAACCUUCACACAGGUGCUGCAUGGCUGUCGUCAGCUCGUGUCGUGAGAUGUUGGGUUAAGUCCCGCAACGAGCGCAACCCUUGUCAUUAGUUGCUACGCAAGAGCACUCUAAUGAGACUGCCGGUGACAAACCGGAGGAAGGUGGGGAUGACGUCAAGUCCUCAUGGCCCUUAUGGGUAGGGCUUCACACGUCAUACAAUGGUACAUACAGAGGGCCGCCAACCCGCGAGGGGGAGCUAAUCCCAGAAAGUGUAUCGUAGUCCGGAUUGUAGUCUGCAACUCGACUACAUGAAGUUGGAAUCGCUAGUAAUCGCGGAUCAGCAUGUCGCGGUGAAUACGUUCCCGGGUCUUGUACACACCGCCCGUCACACCAUGGGAGCGGGUUUUACCAGAAGUAGGUAGCUUAACCGCAAGGAGGGCGCUUACCACGGUAGGAUUCGUGACUGGGGUGAAGUCGUAACAAGGUAACC